RNAcentral lists this ribosomal RNA (429 nucleotides) under uncultured eukaryote. Its description in RNAcentral is "SSU rRNA". It matches the Rfam family "Eukaryotic small subunit ribosomal RNA", at positions 592 to 1018 of the family's 1831-position model. The record is from RNAcentral.
CAAUAGCGUAUAUUAAAGUUGUUGCAGUUAAAAGCUCGUAGUUGGAUUUCAGUCUUAAUUCGUCUGGCCCGCUCCCUUGAGGAGCCGAGUGCCGGUUGCGAAUUGGACUUCCUUCUAGCAUGAAUCUCCUACCGUUAUGCGGCCGGGAAGGACAUCUGGAUCAUUUACUUUGAAGAAAUUAGAGUGUUCAAAGCAAGCUUACGCUGUGAAUAUAUUAGCAUGGAAUAAUAACAUAGGACUCGGGUUCUAUUUUGUUGGUUUCUAGGACUCAAGUAAUGAUUGAUAGGGACAGUUGGGGGUGCUGCUAUUAUAUGGCCAGAGGUGAAAUUCACGGAUUCAUAUAAGAGCAACUUAUGCGAAAGCAUUCACCAAGGAUGUCUUCUUUAAUCAAGAACGAAAGUUGGGGGAUCGAAGAUGAUUAGAUACCGU